This is a small nucleolar RNA of Anoplophora glabripennis (Asian longhorned beetle), 77 nucleotides long. The record is from RefSeq and is a predicted model, not a curated record. NCBI's taxonomy places the organism in Eukaryota, Metazoa, Arthropoda, Insecta, Coleoptera, Cerambycidae.
CGCUUGUGAUGAUCCAAAUUCACACCAUCUUUCGCCUGAGAAAAUCGUGCUGUACACUUUUAUAACUGACUUUUAAG